UACGAAGGGUGCAAACGUUGCUCGGAAUUAUUGGGCGUAAAGCGCACGUAGGCGGCAUUGCAAGUCGGAUGUGAAAUCUUAUGGCUUAACCAUAAAAGUGCAUCCGAAACUGCAGUGCUUGAGUACUUAAGAGGAUCGCGGAAUUCCCGGUGUAGAGGUGAAAUUCGUAGAUAUCGGGAGGAACACCGGUGGCGAAGGCGGCCCGCUGGGCAGUGGCUGGACGCUGAGGCGCGCAGCGUGGGGAGCAACAG
RNAcentral lists this ribosomal RNA (251 nucleotides) under uncultured bacterium. RNAcentral describes it as "partial 16S ribosomal RNA". It matches the Rfam family "Bacterial small subunit ribosomal RNA", at positions 524 to 774 of the family's 1533-position model. The record is from RNAcentral.